GGUGGCUUAGUGGUAGAGCACUUGCCUUGUGUUCAUGAGGCCCUGGGUUCGAUUCCUCAGCACCA
Molecule: transfer RNA, 65 nt
Filed under: Dipodomys ordii (Ord's kangaroo rat)
Lineage: Eukaryota; Metazoa; Chordata; Mammalia; Rodentia; Heteromyidae
Rfam family: tRNA
About the family: Transfer RNA (tRNA) molecules are approximately 80 nucleotides in length. Their secondary structure includes four short double-helical elements and three loops (D, anti-codon, and T loops).
Source: Rfam by way of RNAcentral